GAUGAACGCUGGCGGCGUGCUUAACACAUGCAAGUCGAACGAACCUUCGGGUUAGUGGCGGACGGGUGAGUAACGCGUGAGAAUCUGCCCUCAGGAGGGGGAUAACGGCUGGAAACGGCCGCUAAUACCCCAUAUGCCGAGAGGUGAAAUGAAUUUCGCCUGAGGAUGAGCUCGCGUCUGAUUAGCUUGUUGGUGGGUAAUGGCCUACCAAGGCGACGAUCAGUAGCUGGUCUGAGAGGAUGAUCAGCCACACUGGGACUGAGACACGGCCCAGACUCCUACGGGAGGCAGCAGUGGGGAAUUUUCCGCAAUGGGCGAAAGCCUGACGGAGCAACGCCGCGUGAGGGAUGAAGGCCUCUGGGCUGUAAACCUCUUUUCUCAAGGAAGAAGAUCUGACGGUACUUGAGGAAUAAGCCACGGCUAAUUCCGUG
RNAcentral lists this ribosomal RNA (431 nucleotides) under uncultured bacterium. Its description in RNAcentral is "bacterial SSU rRNA". It matches the Rfam family "Bacterial small subunit ribosomal RNA", at positions 28 to 507 of the family's 1533-position model. The record is from RNAcentral.